Molecule: ribosomal RNA, 449 nt
Filed under: uncultured bacterium
Lineage: Bacteria
Description: bacterial SSU rRNA
Rfam family: Bacterial small subunit ribosomal RNA
Source: RNAcentral
UACCAGACUCCUACGGGAGGCAGCAGUGGGGAAUAUUGCACAAUGGGGGAAACCCUGAUGCAGCAACGCCGCGUGAGUGAAGAAGUAUUUCGGUAUGUAAAGCUCUAUCAGCAGGGAAGAAAAUGACGGUACCUGAGUAAGAAGCCCCGGCUAACUACGUGCCAGCAGCCGCGGUAAUACGUAGGGGGCAAGCGUUAUCCGGAUUUACUGGGUGUAAAGGGAGCGUAGACGGCGAUACAAGUCUGAAGUGAAAGCCCGGGGCUCAACCCCGGGACUGCUUUGGAAACUGGCAGGCUGGAGUGCCGGAGAGGCAGGCGGAAUUCCUAGUGUAGCGGUGAAAUGCGUAGAUAUUAGGAGGAACACCAGUGGCGAAGGCGGCCUGCUGGACGGUGACUGACGCUGAGGCUCGAAAGCGUGGGGAGCAAACAGGAUUAGAUACCCCAGUAACC